GGACGCGUUGAAGAAGCAGAUCGAGAACAUGAAGUACCAAGUGAGCAUGGAACGAUGGCCCCUGUCGAGAAGUAUCGCCGCUACUCGUACCUGUAACCACCUCCUCGCUCCAAGCUUGUUAAAGAUGCACGAGCUAUGGCGCCCUUUACACACUAAUUAUGAACAGUACCGUGAAGAUGCGACGCCCACAGAUAUUUAUUAAAAAGUGGUCCC
RNAcentral lists this unclassified non-coding RNA (213 nucleotides) under Dufourea novaeangliae. Its description in RNAcentral is "guanine nucleotide-binding protein subunit gamma-e, transcript variant X1". Lineage: Eukaryota; Metazoa; Arthropoda; Insecta; Hymenoptera; Halictidae. The record is from RNAcentral.